UACGUAGGGCGCAAGCGUUGUCCGGAAUUAUUGGGCGUAAAGAGCUCGUAGGCGGUUUGUCACGUCGGCUGUGAAAACCCGAGGCUCAACCUCGGGCCUGCAGUCGAUACGGGCAGACUAGAGUGCUGUAGGGGAGACUGGAAUUCCUGGUGUAGCGAUGAAAUGCGCAGAUAUCAGGAGGAACACCGGUGGCGAAGGCGGGUCUCUGGGCAGUAACUGACGCUGAGGAGCGAAAGCGUGGGGAGCAAACAGG
RNAcentral lists this ribosomal RNA (253 nucleotides) under uncultured bacterium. Its description in RNAcentral is "partial 16S ribosomal RNA". It matches the Rfam family "Bacterial small subunit ribosomal RNA", at positions 524 to 776 of the family's 1533-position model. The record is from RNAcentral.